AGGACGAACGCUGGCGGCGCGCCUAACACAUGCAAGUCGAACGAGCGAGAGAGAGCUUGCUUUCUCGAGCGAGUGGCGAACGGGUGAGUAACGCGUGAGGAACCUGCCUCAAAGAGGGGGACAACAGUUGGAAACGACUGCUAAUACCGCAUAAGCCCACGGCUCGGCAUCGAGCAGGGGGAAAAGGAGCAAUCCGCUUUGAGAUGGCCUCGCGUCCGAUUAGCUAGUUGGUGAGGUAAUGGCCCACCAAGGCGACGAUCGGUAGCCGGACUGAGAGGUUGAACGGCCACAUUGGGACUGAGACACGGCCCAGACUCCUACGGGAGGCAGCAGUGGGGAAUAUUGCACAAUGGGGGAAACCCCGAUGCAGCGACGCCGCGUGGAGGAAGAAGGUCUUCGGAUUGUAAACUCCUGUUGUUGGGGAAGAUAAUGACGGUACCCAACAAGGAAGUGACGGCUAACUACGUGCCAGCAGCCGCGGUAAAACGUAGGUCACAAGCGUUGUCCGGAAUUACUGGGUGUAAAGGGAGCGCAGGCGGGAAGACAAGUUGGAAGUGAAAUCUAUGGGCUCAACCCAUAAACUGCUUUCAAAACUGUUUUUCUUGAGUAGUGCAGAGGUAGGCGGAAUUCCCGGUGUAGCGGUGGAAUGCGUAGAUAUCGGGAGGAACACCAGUGGCGAAGGCGGCCUACUGGGCACCAACUGACGCUGAGGCUCGAAAGUGUGGGUAGCAAACAGGAUUAGAUACCCUGGUAGUCCACACCGUAAACGAUGAUUACUAGGUGUUGGAGGAUUGACCCCUUCAGUGCCGCAAGUUAACACAAUAAGUAAUCCACCUGGGGAGUACGACCGC
This 851-nucleotide ribosomal RNA is filed under the name uncultured Bacillota bacterium. RNAcentral's name for it is "bacterial SSU rRNA". It matches the Rfam family "Bacterial small subunit ribosomal RNA", at positions 26 to 889 of the family's 1533-position model. Lineage: Bacteria; Bacillati; Bacillota. The record is from RNAcentral.